UCGAUCUCAAAUCAGGUAGGACUACCCGCUGAACUUAAGCAUAUCAAUAAGCGGAGGAAAAGAAACUAACAAGGAUUCCCCUAGUAACUGCGAGUGAAGCGGGAAGAGCUCAAAUUUAAAAUCUGGCGUGCCUCUGGCCGUCCGAGUUGUAGUCUGGAGAAGCGUCUUCCGUGUUGGACCGUGUAUAAGUCUCUUGGAACAGGGCGUCAUAGAGGGUGAGAAUCCCGUCUUUGACACGGACUACCAAUGCUUUGUGAUGCGCUCUCAAAGAGUCGAGUUGUUUGGGAAUGCAGCUCAAAAUGGGUGGGUAAAUUCCAUCUAAAGCUAAAUAUAGGCGAGAGACCGAUAGCGAACAAGUACCGUGAGGGAAAGAUGAAAA
This 379-nucleotide ribosomal RNA is filed under the name uncultured fungus. RNAcentral describes it as "eukaryotic LSU rRNA". It matches the Rfam family "Eukaryotic large subunit ribosomal RNA", at positions 1 to 370 of the family's 3401-position model. The record is from RNAcentral. Lineage: Eukaryota; Fungi.